AUACAGAGGGUGCAAGCGUUAAUCGGAAUUACUGGGCGUAAAGCGCGCGUAGGUGGUUAGUUAAGUUGGAUGUGAAAGCCCUGGGCUCAACCUGGGAAUGGCAUUCAAAACUGGCUGACUAGAGUAUGGUAGAGGGAAGGGGAAUUCCAGGUGUAGCGGUGAAAUGCGUAGAUAUCUGGAGGAACAUCAGUGGCGAAGGCGCCUUCCUGGACUAAUACUGACACUGCGGUGCGAAAGCGUGGGUAGCAAACAGGAUUAGAAACCCCGGUAGUCC
Molecule: ribosomal RNA, 274 nt
Filed under: uncultured bacterium
Lineage: Bacteria
Description: partial 16S ribosomal RNA
Rfam family: Bacterial small subunit ribosomal RNA
Source: RNAcentral